AGGUCCAUCCCAAAGUCAAUGAAUGUCCAUUCAAUUCCCUCCUUCUUGUACUCCUCCUGCUCCAGCACGAACAUGUGGUGGUUAAAGAACUGUUGCAGUUUCUCAUUGGUGAAGUUGAUGCACAACUGCUCCAGGCUGUUGAACUAACGUUUGACCUUGUAGAGCUGGUCCUCGUGAUGGAAUGGCUAUGGCAGCCCUAGCUGAUGGCAGGUUCCUAGCUGGAACCUGUGACGGCAUUGGUAAUGGGACAAGAGUGGUUUUCCCUUCGAGCCACUUCUCCACAAUGUCACCCAAGCAGCCCAAGUCUGGAUGUGUGACCAGAAACUCGUGAACACUACAGUAAUAGUAUGUCCUAGGCACAAGGUCCUUCAGCAGAGUCAUCAGGAAUAAAGUGGAUGCAGAAAGUGACUCUACUGGAGCUGGAUAUGGCUAUUUCAGGGUAAACACUGCUGCCAGCCAGGAGCUCUACAAUACUGUCAAACUGACACGAUGUACAUUUACUGUCCUGGAACUGCUACAAGCACAAAGACAGGAUUUCUGAUGGAGCAGAUCUUUCCACACAUUAUUGCUGCUUAUGAACUUCAGGUCUUCAGCACAAGAUUCAUCAAUAGCAAAUCCUGCUUUGGGACUGACUUGUUCCACUCCUGCCUGUGGCCAUUCCUAAUUGAAGAAUGGCUCUAUCUCUUCCAAACAGCACCGUCUGCUGGGCUCACACUGUGGGUGACUGCCCCCUCACACAGCCAGGGCCUGUGGAGAUGGGGGGGGAGGCAGAAGAUGUACAGGAAAGCAGAUGUUCACAGCUGGUAGCAGCUCAUUUCAGCCACUAUGAACCAUGAAAGAGUUUGAAAAUCCUGCUGUAAUUUAUUCAGAUGACUCAUCCCACUGCUUUUAUCCAUUGCUGAAAUUGUUUCUCCCAUGGACUGGUCCAAGCUGACUAGUCCAAGGCAAGGAGGAAAUAGUGUGGAAUCAUAUUUGAUUCAGAAAGACUGAACACUAUUUCUUACCUCAAGUCCUGACUAGUGGAAUGGUCUUGGACUCCUUUGAGAAAGCAAGAAUUAUAGGCCCAGUUUCCAAAAGCAGCUUUGUGAUAUGUAUCCCUAAAUACCUUUUUAAAGCACUCAAACACCUGAGCAAUUAGGACUCGCAGGAAGUCUCCAUGUAGAACAAGAGAUCGUGCAUUAACUGCUCCUCACAGCACAUACCUGGGAGUCACUACUAACAUAAUGGCAGCUCAGCGCUCAGGAGAUGGCAGGAAGCUCUAAAAUAUUAGGAAUAGUUAGAAAACAAAAGGGAGAAGAGAAGGGAGUGUUAUGUAGGAAGUGUCCAUCAGUUCAUCCACACCUUCAUUACUGAUCGCACCUCUUAGAAGGGAUAGAAUUGUACUAGAAAUGCUCCAGAGAAGAGAAACAAAGAUGGUCACACAUAUGAAAUGGCUUUCCUAUGAGGAGAGUACAACCUGAGAGUUUGGGGGUGAAAAGGAGACACUUCCAAAGUUUGCAAAGUCCGGAACAGCAGAGAGAACCAUAGC
Lepidothrix coronata (blue-crowned manakin) is the source of this 1528-nucleotide long non-coding RNA. RefSeq lists it as uncharacterized. The transcript has 3 exons. The record is from RefSeq and is a predicted model, not a curated record. NCBI's taxonomy places the organism in Eukaryota, Metazoa, Chordata, Aves, Passeriformes, Pipridae.